CGUGUAGGCGGGAAGAUAAGUCAGAUGUGAAAUUCCAUGGCUCAACUGUGGCGCUGCAUCUGAAACUAUUUUUCUUGAGUGAUGGAGAGGAAAGCGGAAUUCCUAGUGUAGCGGUGAAAUGCGUAGAUAUUAGGAGGAACACCAGUGGCGAAGGCGGCUUUCUGGACAUUAACUGACGCUGAGGCGCGAAAGCGUGGGGAGCAAGCAGGAUUAGAUACCCUGGUAGUCCACGCUGUAAACGAUGGAUACUAGGUGUAGGAGGUAUCGACCCCUUCUGUGCCGGAGUUAACACAAUAAGUAUCCCACCUGGGGAGUACGGCCGCAAGGUUGAA
RNAcentral lists this ribosomal RNA (332 nucleotides) under uncultured bacterium. Its description in RNAcentral is "bacterial SSU rRNA". It matches the Rfam family "Bacterial small subunit ribosomal RNA", at positions 568 to 898 of the family's 1533-position model. The record is from RNAcentral.